UACGUAGGGGGCAAGCGUUGUCCGGAAUCAUUGGGCGUAAAGAGCGUGUAGGCGGCCCGAUAAGUCCGCUGUGAAAGUCCAGGGCUCAACCCUGGAAUGCCGGUGGAUACUGUCGGGCUCGAAUCCGGAAGAGGUGAGUGGAAUUCCUGGUGUAGCGGUGAAAUGCGCAGAUAUCAGGAGGAACACCAAUGGCGAAGGCAGCUCACUGGGACGGUAUUGACGCUGAGACGCGAAAGCUAGGGUAGCGAACGGG
Molecule: ribosomal RNA, 253 nt
Filed under: uncultured bacterium
Lineage: Bacteria
Description: partial 16S ribosomal RNA
Rfam family: Bacterial small subunit ribosomal RNA
Source: RNAcentral